UACCUGGUUGAUCCUGCCAGUAGUCAUAUGCUUGUCUCAAAGAUUAAGCCAUGCAAGUCUAAGUACGAGCUCUCGUACAGUGAAACUGCGAAUGG
This is a non-coding RNA of Ciona savignyi (Pacific transparent sea squirt), 95 nucleotides long. NCBI's taxonomy places the organism in Eukaryota, Metazoa, Chordata, Ascidiacea, Phlebobranchia, Cionidae. The record is from Rfam.